Molecule: long non-coding RNA, 207 nt
Organism: Octopus sinensis (East Asian common octopus)
Lineage: Eukaryota; Metazoa; Mollusca; Cephalopoda; Octopoda; Octopodidae
Exons: 3
Source: RefSeq, a predicted model, not a curated record
AUAAAUAAAUUAUUUGGUACUACUAGCGAACAGCAGUCCCGGUGCGCACACGUGUAGUCGCGCAUACGCGCCAGCUAGUCAUGACUAGUCGAUCCUUACUUUGUGUUAUUUACUUUGUUUAAAAAAUUAUCUACUUUGUGUUUUUGUGUUUUAUUUACUUUUUUUAACAAAAAUUAUUCACUUUGUGUACAAAAAAUUAUUUAUUUU